This 419-nucleotide unclassified non-coding RNA is filed under the name Hevea brasiliensis (rubber tree). The record is from RNAcentral. Lineage: Eukaryota; Viridiplantae; Streptophyta; Magnoliopsida; Malpighiales; Euphorbiaceae.
AGCUCAUUUGAAUCCUUACUUCCUUGACAGAACAAACCACUUCCCAUACUAGUAUAUAGCCCAAAUACAUCUCAAUAAAAGGUUUUGCUCCAACUCUGAUGCAUUCUUAUCAAUGUAACAGCACAAACCACAUCAAUUCUUCCCUUUUAAAAGUUAUCUUUCAUUAAGAUUCUUUUCCAAGAAUGCCUAAAAAAGAAAAAAAGAAUCACCUAGGUACGAGCACAAGUUAUUGUCUUAAUUUAUUUUUACAGCUUUGUUUCACUGGUAGAUGUUUCAGAAAGUGUUCACUUUUUCUGGGUACAAAUGUUCAUUUCUAGUUUCGCUUAGGAUACUAAGCAUCUUAUUACACUUUUGAACCUAUGUUGCAAUACUCCUGGUCAUUUUGUUCUAAUGCCAGCAACAUUGAGCUCAAGACAGAA